This 115-nucleotide ribosomal RNA is filed under the name Danio rerio (zebrafish). The record is from RNAcentral. Lineage: Eukaryota; Metazoa; Chordata; Actinopteri; Cypriniformes; Danionidae.
GACGGCAGCUAGCUUUCUGCAACUCUCACAUGGUCGCCCACUGAAGCUAAGCAGGGCUGCGCCUGGUCAGUACCUGGAUAGGGGACCACAUGGGAAAGCUAGGUUGCUGCCGGAA